Molecule: microRNA, 20 nt
Filed under: Sphaeroforma napiecek
Lineage: Eukaryota; Ichthyosporea; Ichthyophonida
Description: Sna-Mir-Nov-6_star
Source: RNAcentral
CGGAAGAGAUCGUCGAAACC